This is a long non-coding RNA of Mus musculus (house mouse), 285 nucleotides long. RefSeq annotates it as predicted gene, 47465. The transcript has 3 exons. The record is from RefSeq and is a predicted model, not a curated record. NCBI's taxonomy places the organism in Eukaryota, Metazoa, Chordata, Mammalia, Rodentia, Muridae.
CAGCCCAGCACACUGGGAGAAUGUUCCACCAGCCAAUCUAACCAGUUCUGAGUGCAGUCAUGUCUACCUCAUUUCUUCUUCUGCAAUGCCCACUAUGGUGUUUGGUACAGGACAGACUCUCCCAAUAUUUGACCUCCAGGCCAUAUCAAAAGUGACACCAGGAUGGAAGUACUACUCACACCGUGGGACCCAGCAUAUAGGAGCUUUCUUAUCUCCUUUCCAGCUCUGGCUGCCCUGGAAUCAGCUCUAUAGAUCAAGCUGGCGUAUAACUCAAAGAGAUCCGCC